Molecule: unclassified non-coding RNA, 933 nt
Filed under: Hevea brasiliensis (rubber tree)
Lineage: Eukaryota; Viridiplantae; Streptophyta; Magnoliopsida; Malpighiales; Euphorbiaceae
Source: RNAcentral
UGAGAGAGAAAUAAAAACAAAGUGAAAAAGAACAAAAGGAAAAGAAGAAAUGGAGUAGCUAAACUCUGACAUAGCCAGUCACCACCCCAUUCAUCACCAGCCACGCCACCAUCUUCUUGGCCGCGCCUCCUCCUCACUGGUCCUUCUCUUAUUCUACGCACACAGUAUCUGUACAAGAUAGAUCUCUUCUGAUUCUUUUAUCCCUAAAUUGCUACGUCUCCUAUUAUUCUUGCCUAAGCUUUUGUUUUUGCUUAGGUUUGCAAUUAAAGUGGGUGUGCAAAUGAAGGAGUUCGUCUCUGCAGUUUAAUUUUGAUGCAGUAGGUGGUCUUAUCAAGGCAACGACCUGGGGCUUUUGUUCUUGUUUCUUUUGCGUUGGUGAGUAAACUUAAACAAACCCAUUACAUUUCUUCUUGGUCUCUGUACUUUUUAAACUGAAUCCAUUGAUCUAAAAUCUAUCUCCAGUCGUCCCUCAGAUAAAGACCUUUUCCUGUCGUGGGCUUCAUCCUCUCCCGACAACCGUACACAUUUCUCUCUCCCACGUAAAAGCAGGUGAUCUUUAUCUAUUUCUUCUUGUUUCUCUCUAAAUAUAUACAUGUUCCUAUUAUAAAGAGAGAGAGGGAUGAAAAUCUUGCAAGAUUUCUUCGGGUUUUGGGGGAUAUGGAAUUGCUGAUUUCGCAUUUGGUGUCACAUGCUCAAUAUUAAUUGUUGAGAUAGAAGGAGACCUUGGUUUCUUUUGGUGGUGGGUGCUCAUGCACAAAGUAAUAAUAGCCCGGGUUUUCAACUGUGUAGUAUUAGAUUCUUAAGAACCAGAGAAAGUAGACACGAUGAUUUCACUCUCUUCUCUAUAUUUGAAAUGCCUCUCUCUAGUCUCCUGUCUUCCCUCAAAACCUGCAUGCACCAUCACAGGCCAAAAGCCAAUCCAUUUCUUAACAG